GGAAGGUGGCGUGGGGCAGGAGCCAGGCCACAGUGCCAGCUGGGCUGCACUGCACGUUGCACGUGCCUGACUCACAGAAGAAGGUCAGGCUGGUGGACCGCCUGUGGAGUUUCCCAGCCUGAACUUCCAGAUUUGGCCUCAGCCAGUUUAAACAACAAAUGCCUGAUGAAGAUCUUGGGAGACAUAAUAAGAAAACCUCUGUUUUUUUUUUUUAUUUUAUUAUUUUAUCCAGGUUCUUUGGCAGCAAAAAAUGUAGCUGAGAGACAGCAGAUCAGACACAUCUGAAAUCCCAGAGAACCCUGCGCUGGAGUUAAAGUCCAUUGGAGUCAGUGACCUUUUAGUCAGUGACUUUUACAGCCAUCGGAUCAGACCAGAGGUGACCUAGAUGGCAAGAGCAAGUCACUACAGGAGAGACUUGUCUUCUUCUGUUGUAGACAUGCGUGGUGGCUGUGUAUAGGCUGGCACAUCUGUGGCACAUGCAAAACAUACUCAGACACCAGUAGAGUCAAUUAUGGCAGCAAACUCCUGCAGCAGUCACAGCCACAGACCUGGCCCAUGCACCUCAUGCUCCUUCCAGCUAUCCCUAGGUACUUUUCAUGAGUUGGAUGAUCCAGGGACAGAUUCCAAUAGGCAGUUUGCAUGCAGCCAAUGUGUUUUCAAAGAAAAGGCAUAUUACUGUCAUAGACUCAAGUCAUUUGAUCCCAGGUGGCUUUAGUGGCUGGAAGGUUCUCAGGCAUGAGCAUAGAUAGGUCCAGAAGUUACUUUUGCUAAGGCUACAGUAGUGAUAACCUGGCCCAAAUCUUGCUGAGAACUAUGUGUCUGGGGCCUAAGGACUAAUUUCUCAGUAAUCCUGACUAAAUAAAUAAAGUAAAACUUGCUGUGAACUGCUGUUGCCCUCGGUGCAAGAAAUGCAUCAAAAAGCAUAUUAAGAAAUUGUAGAACAUAAUGCUGCAAUAUUGUGUAACCACCAUGAAUAAGAAGGGCUGUUGUAUAUUUCUAAAUGAAGAAUAUGGAGAAUUAGCAUAUAAUAGUUUGUUGGUACACAGUGCUGUUCAUAAAGAUAAGCAACUAUGCAAAGCACACAGUGUCUGGGAAAACCUGAUUAUCGUAUAUCUGUUAAAAAAUCAAGGGGGUAAGUCUUCCUGUAUACUGCUGAAUCAGCUACAUUUGCACAGUGAGAAACUUGUGACAGCAGCAAGCCAAACUUGUAGUGAUCAAACCUAAUUGCUGUGAACAAUUGCAUGCACAAUAGCUCAGCAUUAGCAAGCAAGAAUAUUGUUUUGUGAAUAUAUGAACCACAAAGGACUAUAAUUCAUUUAUAAUUCACUAAGAUCUCUUAUUUUCUUCUCUAGUGUCUAUACUUAGAUAAAAUAACCUUAAGAUCAAUGCAAGUGAGCAGCAACAUGGGCAGAUUAACAUGCUGUUUUGAAUAGUAGUCGAAGAGACCUUUGUGAGAGAGUACUCUUCUCACCUUCAGUGUAACUCAGAAGGAUGCUCUGCUUCAGAUCUUUCUGAACUCUGCAAAGUUGUCCAUUUUCAAUUUUCUCCUGGCUACCCAGAAGACAAGGCUGGAACUGGAUGAGGACACUUCAUUCCUGUCAAGAUUUUGCCAGUGGUUUGAGCACAAAUAGUAAUGUUCUUGACUAAGACUAAACUAAAUGAAAGUAACUAAAGUAAGUAGUAGAAAUUAUUAAACAUCAUGCAUGUCUUACUGAACUUGUAUCUCUGUGUUAAAUUGAGCAGGAUGUAAACCUGUUAGGGAAAAGAUCUCCUCACAGGGCAGGUUCACCAAAAAUUCAGUUCUGGACUAUGAAGAUGGAAAGGUAAGCACUGAAAACCCACCAAAAACAUACUUCAGCCAUUCAGGACCUUCAGACUUAAGUUGCCUGACAUUAAAUACUAUAUUAGUGCAGGUGGCUGGAGAUAAAUUACAGAUAGAAUUAAUCAGGCUAUUGGAAGAUAUUGGAAAAUCAUUGGCUGCCUGGCACAAAAUGAAGGAGAAAGGAGCUUAUGGUUGAGUAGAAAAGAGCAUUGUCAAGUCAACUCAAAAUACAAUUCAAGGCUUAACUGAAAAUAGCAGUAAGCUGUAUUUUUACUGUUUAACAAAGGAUCAUCAUUGGGAGAGCUGAGAACUAGUGGAAACUCUGAUGCACACAGUGAAAGGGCCAAAAUAUAAUAAAGAAAUAUGUGGCCAAAUUUGAACUUUAAAAGAUAGAAAACACACUAAUAUUCAUAAUUCAGGUCUUUCUUAUUUAAUUUAUUUGUUUUGGAAGUAAAAUUUUCACAUACAUAUCUGGAACAAAAACUAAUUCAGCAAACUGUGAGAUUCACUAGUGUUUUCUUGGAUGUUAACAGUGAUUUGCAGUAUUUUAGAUUUAGUGUUACUGAUAGAAAAGAAGUAUGAAUAGAUUGCAGCAUCUUUCCACUUUUUCUUGACAGGUGUUCCUUACAAUAUUUAUUCUUAUAACCAAGACUUACUUUUCUUUACUAAAACAUGUUAUAUUUACAUUUUUAUAAUGUUAUAAUUACAUUUUUAUUGCUUUUUAGAAGUACCAACUAUUAGGCUAGCAAUGCUUUGGUGCAGAAGAAGAUCAGGCUACAGGAUGAAACUGAAGAUGAUUUAUCUUAAACUGCAUAUGGAAGAUUAAAGCAGCAUGUGCUUUCAGCAACAUGUAACCAUAUUUUCUUUAUUCUCAGGAAUACAAAAAAAAAAAAAAUAAUUCAACAACUGUCAGAUGCUUUAUGAUGCAUAAUUUGAAAAUGGUAUUUUAGGACUUUCCUCUGUAAAAAUAAGCAGAACAUUGUUAUUUUUCUUGUCACUUCAUAAUUGUUUACUUGAUUUGAUGUUCUGCACACAAUUCUAUUACAGAAAAAUGCAGGUUUUUUGUUGUUGCUGUUUUUGUUUUGCUUUAAUUACAUUUAGUAGAAAUAAGAGUAUGUACUAGCCUUAAGAUAAAAAUAUCAUUGCAAUAUUUUUAUCCAAUAAAUUGCUUUUAGUCAAGAAGUAUUGCUGUCUGGAAGUUAGUGCAUAGUCUUGUCUCUGUGCAAUUGUAGCUUAAAUUAAAUGGCCCUACAAAACUCAGUUGUAAAAUGCUGUAUUCGUUCAUGUGGAGAAUUAGGUUUAUCCAUGUCCUGUAUGCAUGUAGAACAAAAGCCAUUGUAGGCUGUUUUCUUUAACUCAACAGAUAACUCAUGAACUGGCUAUGUGUGGUGGUUUUCUUUUCCCCUACAAACACAGAGGCUUCUGUACCAAAAGCCUUCUACUUUUUCAUUAAAAGUAUAAACUGAUAUUUUUUGUCAGUAACCUCAUAAGCCCAGGGGUGGUACACAAAUUGUAAACUGGAAGAAGGAAAGAGAAGGGGAAAGCUAUUAAAUGAAUAGUUUUGGACAAAAUCCUGUCACAUAUACGUUUGGCAUUAAAUAUGCUGGUAUGAACUAAAGAAGAAAGUUGAAAAUAUUUUUUAGUGCCUGUCAUUUCUUUGUUGCAGCAUGGUUUUUUCCUUUAGCCCGGUCUUCAGGCCACUCUGAACUGUGAAUUGGGUCUUGUCCAAGCAAAAAAAAACAACAAAAAAAACCCCCCAAUCAUUUAUGACAAAUAACCGUAAGAACAUUUCGGGUACAUCCAUUAUACUGGUGCUUACAGAUCAAAUUCAAUGUUAAUGAGU
Molecule: long non-coding RNA, 3665 nt
Organism: Centrocercus urophasianus (Greater sage-grouse)
Lineage: Eukaryota; Metazoa; Chordata; Aves; Galliformes; Phasianidae
Exons: 4
Source: RefSeq, a predicted model, not a curated record